RNAcentral lists this non-coding RNA (574 nucleotides) under Pan troglodytes (chimpanzee). The record is from RNAcentral. Lineage: Eukaryota; Metazoa; Chordata; Mammalia; Primates; Hominidae.
AAUAACGAGCAAAGUCUCCCGAAAAUAGUUUGAAAGUUGGUUUCUGACAAGAGGAAAGAAAAGGCUGCAACAACACUAAAGGAAGACUCAAAGUGUUAAAAGGACGCUCAAAAUGUAGUAUUGUGGCAGGUCGGGAAUCCCAUCAUCUUUAUUGAGGGACAUUCCUUUGGAAAGAAUACUUCCCAAUCAUUCUAUCAAAAAUAUUAUACUUGAAGAGAAGCCCUGCUGGAAUGAUUUAGGGGAUACAUAGAAUGGAAUGUGAAAUCCUAUAAUUUGCAGCAGCAUGGAUGAAGUGGGGGCCAUUAUCUUGUGAAUAAUUAAAUGUUUUGAUAGUAAAAAAUCAAUGAAUGACCUUCUAUUUGGGUGCGAUCAUCAGUGUGGGAAGACGGCGGCAGUAUACCCAGAACUAGCACAAGCGAACAAAUGGAGAUUCUUGCUCUGUUCCCCAGGCUGGAGUGUAGUGGCACAAUCUCGGCUCACUGCAACCUCUGCCUGCAAGGUUCAAGCGAUUCUUGUGCCUCAGCCUCCCAAGUAGCUGGAAUUACAGAGGCAAAGUUUCACUCUGUGGCCCAGG